Molecule: long non-coding RNA, 2042 nt
Organism: Culex pipiens pallens (northern house mosquito)
Lineage: Eukaryota; Metazoa; Arthropoda; Insecta; Diptera; Culicidae
Exons: 2
Source: RefSeq, a predicted model, not a curated record
UUGCUGUGCUGGAAAAUCGAUUUUGAUAUUACACCCUAUUGCCCCACCCUGUGCACGCUAGUGAUCAAAGUUACCCCGGUUUUUAUAAUUGCUAUUUUCAUUGAAACUUUUUUUUAAAGAACCAUUGAAAACAAUUUUUUGAAGAGAAUGGACAUUGUGUGGCCUACACCAGUACAUGUUUUAAACAUAUAAAUCUUGAGACAAGUCUAUCAAUGUCAUCCUGGUUUACGGCCUAUGAUGUUGACAUGAACUGAUAUGCUCGGAAAAGGGAAAUUUUCUCACAUAAAAUCGUUUGGAAAAUGUUCUUGUCUUUGGAUGCUCGAGUUUUCUUUCAAUCGAGCUCAUAUUCUGCAUGGACAUCGAAAAUUAAAAUUUCAACCACAACCAUGUUUCAGUCACGUUUUUUUGGCUUUGUGAGGAAUUUGUGUGGUUUGGAAAAAAAGUUUAAUUAGGAACUGUUAAAACAUUGCAAUCACCAAUUAGGCCAUUUGUUCUUUCCGUACAACACUGCUCCAGAAACAAUCGGCUUCGGGUAUUUUUUUAGCUCCAUUCUCGGCGCAUGCUCACAAAUAGAACCUGUGAGAUUGUUCUGGCUCGGAAUCUUCCGAAGCAUCACGACUAAAGUAGGUUCAUUAGUCGCUCUUUCGACGUUACAGCAGCAGUCGGUGGAGAUGUUACUCCAGAUUCAAGUACGUUCCAAGUGGAUGCGGUGCGGUGUGUGAUUUUGUACUUUUUCACUUGAACCGUUUUCAAACGGUUUCAACGGUUUGAAGUGUGUAAAUGUACACAUUUGCUAUCAUCAAGUGCGGAAAGAUCGCGAUAUAGAUUGCGCCAGUACCCUUAUUGUAAAAAUUGCAUUUCAUCCAAUCGCUUCAAAUGGUAUUCGAUGAUAAUACGUCAGUGUAUUUUUUCCGUUCGUUUUUUCGUAUCGUAUUUCGUUUUUUGUCUAUAAAUGAAACACUGAAGAAAAUUGUGAGGUCUGUAUACCCAAAACUGUAAAAUGCAGCUGCAUUCUGGCAUGUAUUUUGUACAGCAUUGAAAUUGGGCUAUUUUGGUGGAACGGUAUCGUUAAAAUUCCAAGUGCAGUGGGGUCAGUGUUAGUGAGAGCUUGUAAAGUAAUUGAAAUAAUUUCAUGAAAGUGAUACAGUUAUAGGAAAUACACAGUGAAAAAUGUUUUCAUGCAUAAAUGUGCCAAAUUAAUUUGCAUAGUUCCAACUUUAGAUUGGUGUAAAUCUUGUCCAUUGUUGUUAGCCCCGUCUGCUUAAACGCGUUCCUCGAGAGUGCGGAGGUGCAAUUCCAGCAGUUUGUUUGUUUUGAGUAGCAUAUAGAUUGAUUUUCAUUUAUUUGACCAUUACAACGGUAUUGUUCUGCAACAUCUCAGAAUAGAUUGAUAUUCAUCAUAAGGCAAGAAAAAUGAUAAUGUCUGAGGAUAGGUUUUACAAUGGACAAAAUGAGACAACAGGAUUCUUAUAUACGAAGGUGCAUCUGAUGUUUUUUUAAGGAUUCUUGGAUGCGCAAGUGGCCAAAACACCCGGACUCUUCAUCCAAACCGGUCCGGAAACAAACUCACCAAAACAAACGACGACGAUAACACGAAAUCUGCGACGAUUCCUGGAAGUAAACACCCGGACACACUGGCAAAUUCUCCCAAACCGAUCCGGAAGAAGCACCAACACAAACUCACCAAAACACACAACGACGACGGCACAGAAUCUGCGACGAUUGUUUGACGCACGAGCGACCAAAACUCCCAGACACACGACGAUUGAAUCACGAUCCGACAGGCUUCUGCCAACCACUUUUCAAAACUUUGCGUUUGACAGUUGUCAAAGUCCCUGGGUCAAAAGAUGAUUGAAUAUUGUACCUAAAUUUGAUGAAUAUUACUCAAGUAUACGAGUAGUAAAAAUAAUGUUGAAUAUCCAUCAAAAAUUAGGUAAUAUUACACAUUUUUUGUGUAAAACCUGUUUGACAAAAAAAAAUCGUUAUUCAACAAUUAUAGAGGUAAAAUUCAUCAUUCUUUUUUUCAACAUUCUUUUUUCAAC